This is a long non-coding RNA of Talpa occidentalis (Iberian mole), 667 nucleotides long. RefSeq lists it as uncharacterized. NCBI's taxonomy places the organism in Eukaryota, Metazoa, Chordata, Mammalia, Eulipotyphla, Talpidae. The record is from RefSeq and is a predicted model, not a curated record. The transcript has 3 exons.
GACCGGGCGGUUGCUGCGGAAACGAGGACAUCCUUUAAGAAUGAGCUUAGUUCUGAGGUUCUUCGCGGGUGAUUCAAUCCCGAGUCGCGGCGUGGUUUUUGUCUUUCCGCCCCUUCGGCGAACAGUCCGUGGGCUGCUUAGACAAGUAUCUAAUUGAGGGGAAGCCCCAGCUUGGAUUUCUUAGUAAAUAUUCUACCCUGAGUUCCGUUCCACCUUCCGUUCAGAACUUAACUUUUUAUAGUUCGGUUCAAGACCUUCGCCACUGGCGGUGAUUCGUGCCCUGAUCAGCCCUAGUGAAACCUGCAACCAGGAACCAGGCCUCUGCUUCUCUCGCUAAUGAGCCCCUAUUCCUCGGAGAGGGCAGAGGGAGAAGUCCACUAAAGGGUUUGAAGAAUGAGGAGUGCCUCUUAUUCACUCCCUUUCAAAGAAUGAGAAAGUGUGUGUUCGCGGAAUUCUGAAACUCAUUUACGUGGCCUCUCAGGAUGUGAGGCAACCUAAAGAGAUGCCUUAAAAUAAUUAUUUAAAAUGGAUGAAGAAAAAAACAACUAGAUGAAGAAAUUAGGGAAAUGGGAAAAUAAGAGGAGGAUUAAGAUGAAGUCAUGAAUAAGUUCAGAGGAAUUCAAUGUUGAAUUUAAUGCGGAAUAAAGAGAACAUUCUUAUUUCUCUG